GCGGCCAAAAAUCAGAGGAAAAUAUGUGUGACCUUGGUUCAAACAUUUUGUCAAAUAAAUGGUCUGCAGUAGCUCUGAAAAACCCAACACGUACACGGACUAACAAAAAGAACAAAUCUCGGUUUCUUGGCUUGGCCAAACCAGGGUGAGGCACCAAAAGAUUUGAGGAGCGAGCGUUUGGUCGUGGGGGUCUCUACCAGCUCGGAGACG
Molecule: long non-coding RNA, 210 nt
Filed under: Eucalyptus grandis
Lineage: Eukaryota; Viridiplantae; Streptophyta; Magnoliopsida; Myrtales; Myrtaceae
Description: long non-coding RNA (EGRA_LNC004493)
Source: RNAcentral